This 32-nucleotide non-coding RNA is filed under the name Homo sapiens (human). Lineage: Eukaryota; Metazoa; Chordata; Mammalia; Primates; Hominidae. The record is from RNAcentral.
UCCAGGAUGAGCUCCUGCCCUCCGAUGGCAUC